AACCCUUCUCUCUCUCUCUCUCUCUCUCUCUCUCUCUCUCACACACACACACACACAUUGACACACUCACCGAGUCAUGAUAGAUAUUUUUUGAUAAGAAGGGGCACUGAGGCACAACACAAACAAAACAGAACAAAGCAACAAAGUCUCAUUAGAGUCAAGUGACUCUUUCUCUCUAGCAGUAAAAAGCAAACCCCACUCUCUUUUUCUUUCUUUCUAUCAUUCGCUCUCCCUCUCUCUACUUUCCUUAUUUGGCUGUUUUUGGUGCAGUGUUGUCGUCGGCACUGUUUGAUUUGUUCUGAGUAAAGUCAGGGGUUGUGGCUGUGUGUCACGGACACCUGUACGUUCUGCAUGAAUGAGAGAGAGAAAGAGAGAGAGAGAGCAAAAGAGAAUACAAAGCGAGACAAUAGUGAACGAAGAAAGAAAGAGUUUUUUUUUUUUUUGGUUUCUUUUUUCUUUGGGGGAGGGUGUUUUUCUUUCUUGGUCAAGUCUAAGGGGAAAAAGAAAACCCUAAAUCCUGAUUGAAGUCUUUUCCGAGUUUCACACAGAAAGAGAAUGGAAUAAAAGAUUUUUAGUGAAUUUUGUGUGGUUUCCUUAAUUGGGUCUCGCUGUGUUCUCAGAUCUGACUCUUUCUUACUAUAUAUAUAUAUUUUUUCAUAGUAUUUCUUCUUUUGAGUCUGUAUGGUGAUUGGUGGGUGUUUUCUGUUUCCACAUUUGGGAAACUUUCUGUCUUUACUCAUUUCAUUCCUCUUUGUUUGAAAAUUCCAUAAUAUAUGCGGUCUCUGGGACAUAGAAAUUGACAGAAGAGAGUGAGCACACAGAGGCACUUGGUAUAAGUCUAUACUAUUGCUUUUGCGUGCUCACUUCUCUUUCUGUCACCUUCCAGUGCCGGUUUAGAUGCCAAAAAUCUUAUCUUUCCGGCCUGCUUUUUGUUCCAGAUCCUCUCUCUCUCUCUCUCUCUCUCAAACAUAUAUGCAGAUAUAUUUUCUCUAAUUUUAUGGGUGGAUACUUGUUUAUUUCAACCUUCAAGAACAGCUCGAGUAGACUGAAAGUGUAGUGUUUAUUCUUUGAAAUUGACAAAUGAUUUUAUGUUUAAUUAUUAGUAUACGUUUUAUAAAUUGUUGAUUGUUUGAAAGCGUGACUUUUGAGGGUGUUUCUCUGAGAAGGUACGCUUGAUUACUGUGCGGAUUAGGCGGCAAAACAUGCUUAUAGCAUGGGACCAUUUACGUUAUAUAGGAGUAGUAGAAUGGUCCUAAUACAACUUGACUGCUCUUCCUUUUUUUCCCUUCUUUUUUUUGAUUUCAGAUCUUUGAUAGUUAGUACUUAGGAUCAGUAUUUUCAUGUUUGUGACUAUGUAGUGCCAUUUGGUUUAUAUUUUAUUCCUGCGCAUGCGUUUUCCACUCGAGAUUUGGUUCUGAUUGGAGUUUGUUCUUACCUGAAUCUAGCCAGAAUCUGAUUGCUAGCUUGUUCUCUCAGCUCAGAUACAUAUUUAUUUACUUAUUUUUCAUGGGUUUGAAACCCUAUUCUAGCUAUCACAGGGUUGCCUUUUGAUAGGAAUGGAUAAGGGUUUCCUAGGUCUGUAGUUUAGUCAAAAUCUCUUCAGUUACAUACCUACUAUUAUAUUUGAAUAUAUAUUAUUGAGUUUUUGGAGAAAAAAAAUAAUUUCAGUCUAAUUUGUCAUUUUUGAUCUCAUAUAUUGUGAUUUGAUGGGAUGUAUUGAGUGUAGAAAAGAUGUGAACUCUUUUGGGUAUGGUUACGAUUGUAAGAAUUUUCCAGAUUUUAAGGAACUUCUUCAGCUGUUUUGUUUGCAGGCAGACAAGAAAUAUAGAAUCUUUUGAGGAACUGUCAACUCAAGUAUCGUGCACAAAAAUCUUGUCUCAAAAGAAAACGUGUGAAUUAGGUCUCGGCAUUUAAACAAUAAUGGUUUUAGUGUGUGGAGUCAUUUCAUGCGUUGAAUUGUGCUGGUAAAUGCUGUCGGUUGCUAGAUGGAAUGUUCAUAUAACUUACUUGGCCAAGAAUGCAGAUUGCUUUAUGAAAAUGAAAUUUAGGAGUCUCCCAACUUUGCCGCGACAAGGUUCUUUCAAGCUUGCUUAAGAAAAUGAAGCUCCUUUCCAUUCCACUCAAGGUAGUCAAAGGUGAAAGGCAACCUUAAGGAGCCAAGGCCUUGUAUCGUUGGAGGCAUGAGGCAACAAAACUUAGUUUGGAUGCCUUGAUUUUUCAAUCAAUGUAAUAAUCAGCCCACUCAAGAUAGUCAAAGGCAAAAGGUGAUCUUAAGGCGCCAAAUCCUUCUUUUGCUUGAGGCAUGAGGAUCUGAAAGAAGCUAAAGUGAAAGCUAUUUGGAAAGAUGUUCUUGAAAGCUCUGAUCCUGAAAGAAGCUAAAGUGAAAGCUAUUUGGAAAGAUGUUCUUGGAAGCUCUGAUCCUGAAAGAAGCUAAAGUGAAAGCUAUUUGGAAAGAUGUUCUUGGAAGCUCUUCUCAGGUUUGCAUUCACGGGAAUUGAAUGCUUUGGUGCUUUCCUAGUCACUGCUUUUAAGAAAAGUAAAUAAUCCUUUUUGGAAUAAGGUGUUUAAGAGGCUUUGGUGUGAUUGCAAAUGUCUUUUACCAAAAGCUACAAUCCGUAGGUUUGAUUUCGAGAUUCAAUAUUACCAAAUGGGGGUGUUCAAGAGAUUGAGCCUUGGUGCAAUAACAAAUGCCUUUUACCAAAAGUGACAAGCUGUAGGUUUGAGUUGGAGAUUCAAUCUCUUCAAAUGGGGAGGAAGUUACACAGUCGGUCUUUCUACAAGGUAGAUUUGUAGCCCAAUGGUCUUUGGGCUUAGUGUCACCUCCAUCCUUGUCGGUGAGAAAAUACUGGGUUCAUACCUUCACCUAGCCAAAAAGGAAAAGGGGGUAGGAGUUAAGUAUAAUGGUAUUUGGCUUCAUGUAAUUUCAGGUCUUAAUUUGUUGCAUUUCUCUUGUAUACUUUCCAUGUACUGAGGCUUCACCCUUUCAUUUUGAUAAAAUCAUACAUACAUGUGUGUGAAGCCAUUUGGUGCAAGACACUCAUAGCUAUACCUGUACCCAAUUGCUUCAAGAAGCCAUUUGGUGCCUGUGUAUGAUGUUAAAACUAGGGCAGGGCUUUGAUCUCAAAUUUUCUUAAUGGUUUGCAUUUUAGGAUUUAA
Long non-coding RNA from Quercus robur (English oak), 3156 nucleotides. RefSeq lists it as uncharacterized. The record is from RefSeq and is a predicted model, not a curated record. NCBI's taxonomy places the organism in Eukaryota, Viridiplantae, Streptophyta, Magnoliopsida, Fagales, Fagaceae. The transcript has 8 exons.